RNAcentral lists this ribosomal RNA (465 nucleotides) under Vreelandella stevensii. RNAcentral's name for it is "partial 16S ribosomal RNA". It matches the Rfam family "Bacterial small subunit ribosomal RNA", at positions 338 to 795 of the family's 1533-position model. The record is from RNAcentral. Lineage: Bacteria; Pseudomonadati; Pseudomonadota; Gammaproteobacteria; Oceanospirillales; Halomonadaceae.
CCUACGGGGGGCUGCAGUGGGGAAUAUUGGACAAUGGGCGAAAGCCUGAUCCAGCCAUGCCGCGUGUGUGAAGAAGGCCUUCGGGUUGUAAAGCACUUUCAGUGGGGAAGAAAGCCUUGGGGCUAAUACCCUCGAGGAAGGACAUCACCCACAGAAGAAGCACCGGCUAACUCCGUGCCAGCAGCCGCGGUAAUACGGAGGGUGUGAGCGUUAAUCGGAAUUACUGGGCGUAAAGCGCGCGUAGGCGGUCUGAUAAGCCGGUUGUGAAAGCCCCGGGCUCAACCUGGGAACGGCAUCCGGAACUGUCAGGCUAGAGUGUAGGAGAGGAAGGUAGAAUUCCCGGUGUAGCGGUGAAAUGCGUAGAGAUCGGGAGGAAUACCAGUGGCGAAGGCGGCCUUCUGGACUGACACUGACGCUGAGGUGCGAAAGCGUGGGUAGCAAACAGGAUUAGAUACCCGUGUAGUC